Molecule: ribosomal RNA, 953 nt
Filed under: Fructilactobacillus sanfranciscensis
Lineage: Bacteria; Bacillati; Bacillota; Bacilli; Lactobacillales; Lactobacillaceae
Description: bacterial SSU rRNA
Rfam family: Bacterial small subunit ribosomal RNA
Source: RNAcentral
AUGAUUUUGGAUCCGACUGAGUGGCGAACUGGUGAGUAACACGUGGGUAACCUGCCCAGAAGAAGGGGAUAACACCUGGAAACAGAUGCUAAUACCGUAUAACAACAAGAACCACAUGGUUCUUGUUUGAAAGCUGGCCUUUGUGCUAGUGCUUCUGGAUGGACCCGCGGCGUAUUAGCUAGUUGGUGAGAUAAUAGCUCACCAAGGCAAUGAUACGUAGCAGACCUGAGAGGGUAAUCUGCCACAAUGGGACUGAGACACGGCCCAUACUCCUACGGGAGGCAGCAGUAGGGAAUCUUCCACAAUGGACGAAAGUCUGAUGGAGCAACGCCGCGUGAGUGAAGAAGGGUUUCGGCUCGUAAAACUCUGUUGUUAGAGAAGAACAGCCGUGAGAGCAACUGCUCACGGUAUGACGGUAUCUAACCAGAAAGUCACGGCUAACUACGUGCCAGCAGCCGCGGUAAUACGUAGGUGGCAAACGUUGUCCGGAUUUAUUGGGCGUAAAGGGAGCGCAGGCGGUUUAUUAAGUCUGAUGUGAAAGCCUUCGGCUUAACCGGAGAAGUGCAUCGGAAACUGAUAAACUUGAGUGCAGAAAAGGAUAGUGGAACUUCAUGUGUAGCGGUGAAAUGCGUAGAUAUAUGAAGGAACACCAGUGGCGAAGGCGGCUAUCUGGUCUGUAACUGACGCUGAGGCUCGAAAGCAUGGGUAGCAAACAGGAUUAGAUACCCUGGUAGUCCAUGCCGUAACGAUGAAUGCUAGGUGUUGGAAGGUUUCCGCCUUUCAGUGCCGCAGCUAACGCAUUAAGCAUUCCGCCUGGGGAGUACGACCGCAAGGUUGAAACUCAAAGGAAUUGACGGGGACCCGCACAAGCGGUGGAGCAUGUGGUUUAAUUCGAUGCUACGCGAAGAACCUACCAGGACUUGACAUCUCUGCCAAUCUAAAGAUAGACGUUC